GUUUCAUUUAAGUCUGUUUAAUAUAAAUUGUAAGAUAUCAAAAAUGGCCGCCUUAAAUGUCACAACUGACAGUUACUUCAAAAUAAAGACAUUCCAAGACUCCAAGUUAAAUCAGUGCGAAAGUAAUGUCUUGAACGACAGGUGCCGUUAACGAUAGAACCCUUUGAGGGGUUCUUUAUACCCCACAACAUUAACUCUUAUUUCAAUUCUCGUAGAUAAGACCCUGAAAUAAAACAGAGACGUACACCACCACAAAAUGAACCCGCGAUCGGAUUGCAUAACAACAAAAUUACACGGCGCAUUCCGCGCGAAAGGUCAUCUAUGAUUGGUUGUGUUUUACAACAUCAAGGAAAUCAGUUAAUGAUUUAAAAUUAUGACUUCUGCUGGGGAUUCGCGAUUUAUUAUGAUAAUCCUGGUUUAUUAGCGAAUGUUUUGUAAAACUCUGAAGGGUAGGCGUUUUAUUGCAACGAAUGCUAUUAACUUUAAUUUUAACGAAUGAACUCAGAAAGUUGAAUGAAGCUACCGGGUGAAGGAAAUAAAUGUCAGUGUAAAUACAUAUUUUUUAUAAGUUCGCGGCCUUUAGUGCGCGUCGUUUAUAAAGGUCGUGCACUGGUUACCAAAUGUCGCGCCCUUUGCAUCCCCGCGGGACCCACUGGACCAAAUGUGUUGAAUCAUAUUGAAAUUAUAAAUGUUCAUUUAUUAAAACGUUCAUGUUCAACGUAUUCAGCUCGUGUCUUAAUAGUUUAUAAUUACAGCGAUAAACAAGAAUCAUUACAUCCACUUAACUUGCAACAUUCUUUAUAAUAAAAGGAAUUUUCUAAGG
Molecule: long non-coding RNA, 823 nt
Organism: Danaus plexippus (monarch butterfly)
Lineage: Eukaryota; Metazoa; Arthropoda; Insecta; Lepidoptera; Nymphalidae
Exons: 2
Source: RefSeq, a predicted model, not a curated record